CCAGAAUCUCUGACUUCCCCUGAACGCCUCACUGAAAUCUAACUGCGCAGCUCCGCAGCACAGCGUCGUCAUUGUGUUCUAGAACCUUCUGAGAACAUCGACACUGCUGUGCGCUUUUGAUUGUGUUGGUUACUCCGUGGCAAGUCGACAGUGUGCAGCUGCCCUCCAGCUCCUCUCCAUCUCCAUCUCCCUCUACUUCUAUCACAUCUCUCUUUACUGGCCCUUCUAUCCACUCUAUCUAUUAUUGGUUCUUUUCACCUCUCUCCUAUAACAUCUACCACUCAUCCCUUAAUAUAAGGUUUUCUAUCUCUCCUGUCAAAUCUAAUAAAUCUAUCUAAAUUUGAGGUUUUCUAUCAUUCUAUCCCUCUAAUUCUAUCCCGCUCUAUCUACAUUUGGUUCUGCACUUGUUGCAAGUUACCCUCUGGUUCUGGUUCAAAUAUUAUCAUACCCAUUUGUUCUGGUUCAAGGAUUAUUAUAUCCUACCCAUUUGUUCUGGUUCAAGGAUUAUUAUAUCCUACCCAUUUGUUCUGGUUGGAAAGCUACAGAUUAUUGGUAUCUGUUUUGGAUUCAUUGGUUGAUUGGAACCUGAUCAUUCUGUUUUAUGGAUCUGUGAGUUUCUCUGCUCACACUUCUUCUACCUCUCCUGUCUCUCUCUCACACACAUUUGAUUUGGCCUUUUCAAUUGGCAAAAACCUUAUUGUAUUUUUGAAUUGUCCAUAUUGUAUCAAUAUUCUAUUUGGUAACAGUCAUAAUUAAAUAAAUUAUUAAGUAUUUUUUAGUUUGUUCAUUAAAUUAAUUGAAAAGACUGGAAACACAUAAAUAACACACAUUUUGUUUAGCUUUUGUAUAUCAUUGAAGAAAACAGUCUAUUGUUAAUGUACAUAACAAUAAAUUGAAGUCCAAAUCUAUAUUUAUACAAGAAAAGAGCUGUAGUUGUUCCUGGACCGUGUUGCUGUGGAGCUCUGUACCAACAGGUUUGUUUUGACUGCAAAUAUAUUCAUACCAGAGUACACAUAAUCAGUUUUUCUUUGUACAAGUGUAAAAGUAAUUACACUACAUACAUUGAGUUAUUUGUCUCUAAUUCACAUAUUUGUACCUCAUCUAUAGAUCCACUCACAUUGUUUACAUCAACAAGUUUUGUACGUGCUUUAUUGUUGGUUAAAUCUUUAUGAAAUAAAUAAACAGACUGUAAGGAAAAA
This is a long non-coding RNA of Perca fluviatilis (European perch), 1199 nucleotides long. RefSeq lists it as uncharacterized. The transcript is spliced from 4 exons. The record is from RefSeq and is a predicted model, not a curated record. Lineage: Eukaryota; Metazoa; Chordata; Actinopteri; Perciformes; Percidae.